AGCUUUGCGCAGUGAUAGUAUUAUAGCCAAUGAGAUUUGUCUAAGGCGCAAUUAUUGCUAAUUGAAAAAAAUUUUGUGUAACCUCAC
This 87-nucleotide small nuclear RNA is filed under the name Pteropus vampyrus (large flying fox). RNAcentral describes it as "U4 spliceosomal RNA (ENSPVAG00000025390.1)". It matches the Rfam family "U4 spliceosomal RNA", at positions 1 to 87 of the family's 138-position model. Rfam says of the family: U4 small nuclear RNA (U4 snRNA) is a component of the major U2-dependent spliceosome. The structure of U4 snRNA from yeast and human has been reported. The record is from RNAcentral. Lineage: Eukaryota; Metazoa; Chordata; Mammalia; Chiroptera; Pteropodidae.